Molecule: ribosomal RNA, 909 nt
Filed under: Aspergillus chrysellus
Lineage: Eukaryota; Fungi; Ascomycota; Eurotiomycetes; Eurotiales; Aspergillaceae
Description: LSU rRNA
Rfam family: Eukaryotic large subunit ribosomal RNA
Source: RNAcentral
UAGCAUAUCAAUAAGCGGAGGAAAAGAAACCAACCGGGAUUGCCUCAGUAACGGCGAGUGAAGCGGCAAAAGCUCAAAUUUGAAAUCUGGCUCCUUCGGGGUCCGAGUUGUAAUUUGCAGAGGAUGCUUCGGUUGCGGCCCCCAUCUAAGUACCCUGGAACGGGUCGUCAUAGAGGGUGAGAAUCCCGUAUGGGAUGGGGUGUCCGCGUCCGUGUGAAGCUCCUUCGACGAGUCGAGUUGUUUGGGAAUGCAGCUCUAAAUGGGUGGUAAAUUUCAUCUAAAGCUAAAUACUGGCCGGAGACCGAUAGCGCACAAGUAGAGUGAUCGAAAGAUGAAAAGCACUUUGAAAAGAGAGUUAAACAGCACGUGAAAUUGUUGAAAGGGAAGCGCUUGCGAUCAGACUCGCCUACGGGGUUCAGCCGGCUUUCGGGCCGGUGUACUUCCCCGUGGGCGGGCCAGCGUCGGUUUGGGCGGCCGGUCAAAGGCCCCUGGAAUGUAGCGCCUCUCGGGGCGCCUUAUAGCCAGGGGUGCAAUGCGGCCAGCCUGGACCGAGGAACGCGCUUCGGCACGGACGCUGGCAUAAUGGUCGUAAGCGACCCGUCUUGAAACACGGACCAAGGAGUCUAACAUCUACGCGAGUGUUCGGGUGUCAAACCCGUGCGCGGAGUGAAAGCGAACGGAGGUGGGAGCCCCCUCGCGGGGCGCACCAUCGACCGAUCCUGAUGUCUUCGGAUGGAUUUGAGUAAGAGCGUAAAUGUGGGGACCCGAAAGAUGGUGAACUAUGCCUGAAUAGGGCGAAGCCAGAGGAAACUCUGGUGGAGGCUCGCAGCGGUUCUGACGUGCAAAUCGAUCGUCGAAUUUGGGUAUAGGGGCGAAAGACUAAUCGAACCAUCUGGUAGCUGGUUCCUG